GCUGGGUGUGGUGGUGCACACCUGUAGUCCCAGCUAUUUGGGAGGCUGAGGCAGAAGAAUUGCUUGAACUCGGGAGGUGGAGGUUGCAGUGAGCUGAGAUUGCGUCACUCCACUUCAGCCUGGGUGACAAAGCGAGACUCUGUCUCAA
Molecule: non-coding RNA, 148 nt
Filed under: Pan troglodytes (chimpanzee)
Lineage: Eukaryota; Metazoa; Chordata; Mammalia; Primates; Hominidae
Source: Rfam by way of RNAcentral